RNAcentral lists this ribosomal RNA (492 nucleotides) under uncultured bacterium. RNAcentral describes it as "partial 16S ribosomal RNA". It matches the Rfam family "Bacterial small subunit ribosomal RNA", at positions 29 to 507 of the family's 1533-position model. The record is from RNAcentral.
AGUGAACGCUGGCGGUAGGCCUAACACAUGCAAGUCGAACGGCAGCACAGUAAGAGCUUGCUCUUACGGGUGGCGAGUGGCGGACGGGUGAUGAAUACAUCGGUAUCUACUUUUUCGUGGGGGAUAACGUAGGUAAACUUACGCUAAUACCGCAUACGACCUACGGGUGAAAGCAGGGGAUCUUCGGACCUUGCGCGAUUGAAUGAGCCGAGGUCGGAUUAGCUAGUUGGCGGGGUAAAGGCCCACCAAGGCGACGAGCCGUAGCUGGUCUGAGAGGAUGGUCAGCCACACUGGAACUGAGGAACAGUCGAGACACCGACAGUGGGAAGCAGUGGAGAAUAUUAGGCGAUGCAGGCGAGCCUAAUCCAGCCAUACCGGGUGAAUGAAGAAGGCCCCCGGGUUGGUGAGCCCUUAAGUUGGGAGAGAAGAAAAGCACGUUAAUACCGGGCUAUUCUGACGGUACCAGAAGAAGAAGCACCGGCUAACUUCGUG